This 468-nucleotide ribosomal RNA is filed under the name uncultured bacterium. RNAcentral describes it as "partial 16S ribosomal RNA". It matches the Rfam family "Bacterial small subunit ribosomal RNA", at positions 28 to 507 of the family's 1533-position model. The record is from RNAcentral.
GACGAACGCUGGCGGCGUGCUUAACACAUGCAAGUCGAACGGAAAGGCCCUGCUUUUGUGGGGUGCUCGAGUGGCGAACGGGUGUGUAACACGUGAGUAACCUGCCCUUGACUUUGGGAUAACUUCAGGAAACUGGGGCUCAUAUAGGAUAGGAUCUCCUGCUGCAUGGUGGGGGUUGGAAAGUUUCGGCGGUUGGGGCUGGACUCGCGGCUUAUCAGCUUGUUGGGGGGGUAGUGGCUUACCAAGGCUUUGACGGGUAGCCGGCCUGGGAGGGUGACCGGCCACCUUGGGACUGCGAUACGGCCCAGACUGCUACGUUAGGCAGCAGUGGGGAAUAUUGCACAAUGGGCGGAAGCCUGAUGCAGCAACGCCGCGUGCGGGAUGACGGCCUUCUGGUUGUAAACCGCUUUCUCCUGUGACGAAGCGUGAGUGACGGUAAUUGGUAAAGAAGCACCGGCUAACUACGUG